Molecule: transfer RNA, 66 nt
Filed under: Lema decempunctata
Lineage: Eukaryota; Metazoa; Arthropoda; Insecta; Coleoptera; Chrysomelidae
Description: tRNA-Lys
Source: RNAcentral
CAUUAGGUGGCUGAAAAUAAGCUUUGGAAUUUUAAACCAAGUUAUAGUAUCUCAUACUUCUAAUGA